GGAGGAAAGAAGAAGAGCAGUAAAGAAUCGAUGGCAGCCGUCCCAUUGCGUUUUGUGGUUUCUACCGUUUUGAUGAGUUUCCUUGUAAAACUCCACAGCAGAAACGUAUCUUAAGAGGCAUUUUGCUGGAUUCAAGCAGAGCGGCACACUUGCCAGACCAACAGAAGCGUGUGAGGUGUAUCGAUUCAUGGCGCCAUCUAUAAACGGCAUUUCCCCAACACCUUUUGCAUUCAUGCAGCCCAGGAUCAUCACACUGCCACCUCUGUGCUUUGUUGUCUGGAUUAUGCAUUCACUGUGGUAGUGCUGGCCAGGUUAAAUCCAAUCAUGCUCGACCCUGUAUGAGUGCAACCAAUUAAUCUUGGUGUCAUCUGCCUAAGGAAUGCACUCCCAGUAUAGAACAGGCUUCUUUUCAUUUUCACAUUCUUUAGUAAAAGUUUUAUCUGGAAGUUUUGUUUUUUUUUAACGGACAAAAGGUCAGUCUUAUGCAUUGUCCUUCCCACUGUCUGAGCUAUGUCAAGUCUUGCCCGUCUGUUUUUCAGAGCUAGACAGUGCAAGUAACACAUUUCCAUGGCAUCAUUACAGGAUCUGUGAUUAAUGCUACGCUUCAUUUUCUGCUUCCUCAUUACUGCUGAAAAUGUGGUAGAGCUGAAUUUUAGUUGGUCGCAGAUCUCCCUGUAUCCUUCUGUAGCACUGGGGUUUAUUUAAAUUCUCAUAUUUGUUUUCUUUCAGUUGUAUUUCAGGGAUUAGGACAUUUCUUCCAUUUAUUUGUUUUUUAUAGUUCAUAAUUAACUACUGUUAUUGGCAGCUUAAACAGAAUGCAUUUAUUGAGACAGUUUUGAAUUGUUUAGCAUUGAAGGCAUGUAUUUUAUUUCUAUUUAUAAUAUAUGCACAUUUUUAAUUUAAUACCAGCAACACAUUUAAAUGUAAAAAACUGGCAUGUCCACCAGUGCUGCAUCACCCUUUCUGCUCUUUUAACUGCUUAAAGUUUGAUUCUUUUUGGCCAAUUCAAUGGGUCACGGGCCAUCAGCCUCCAUCCUUGAAAAACACAUAA
Oreochromis niloticus (Nile tilapia) is the source of this 1051-nucleotide long non-coding RNA. RefSeq lists it as uncharacterized. The transcript has 4 exons. The record is from RefSeq and is a predicted model, not a curated record. Lineage: Eukaryota; Metazoa; Chordata; Actinopteri; Cichliformes; Cichlidae.